AUGGUUGAUUAAUGAUUGUGAAUCGUUGAAGAGUAUAAUUAUCAAUGUGAUUGAUGAUUAAUCCUAAGCAAAAGUUAUAAUCAUGUAAUUCACUAAGUGUUAGUGAAUUAUAGGAGGAUUAAUUAGCAAUUAGAUUGCUAAUUGACUUAAUUUGAUUAAGCAAUGAGGUUCGGAUUAAAUCUCAUUGAAUUGAAUUCAAUUUGAUUUGGAUUGGGGUUGAUUGGAUCGAG
RNAcentral lists this long non-coding RNA (230 nucleotides) under Elaeis guineensis (African oil palm). Its description in RNAcentral is "long non-coding RNA (EGUI_LNC067637)". The record is from RNAcentral. Lineage: Eukaryota; Viridiplantae; Streptophyta; Magnoliopsida; Arecales; Arecaceae.